CCUACGGGCGGCAGCAGUGGGGGAUAUUGCACAAUGGGGGAAACCCUGAUGCAGCGACGCCGCGUGAGUGAAGAAGUAUUUCGGUAUGUAAAGCUCUAUUAGCAGGGAAGAAAAUGACAGUACGUGACCACGUAGCCCCGGGUAACUACGUGCCAGCAGCCGCGGGAAUACGUAGGGGGCCAGCGUUAUGCGGAUUUACUGGGUGUAAAGGGAGCGUAGACGGUUAUGUAGGUCUGGAGUGAAAGCUAGGGGCCCAACCCCGGGACUGCUUUUGAAACUGUGUGACUGGAGUACAGGAGGGGCAGGCGGAAUUCCUGGUGUAGCGGUGAAAUGCGUAGAUAUCAGGAAGAACACCGGCUGCGAAGGCGGCCUACUGGACUGAAACUGACGUUGAGGCUCGAAAGCGUGGGGAGCAAACAGGAUUAGAUACCCCAGUAGUC
This 440-nucleotide ribosomal RNA is filed under the name uncultured bacterium. RNAcentral describes it as "partial 16S ribosomal RNA". It matches the Rfam family "Bacterial small subunit ribosomal RNA", at positions 338 to 795 of the family's 1533-position model. The record is from RNAcentral.